RNAcentral lists this ribosomal RNA (486 nucleotides) under uncultured bacterium. Its description in RNAcentral is "partial 16S ribosomal RNA". It matches the Rfam family "Bacterial small subunit ribosomal RNA", at positions 28 to 507 of the family's 1533-position model. The record is from RNAcentral.
GAUGAACGCUGGCGGCGUGCCUAAUACAUGCAAGUCGAACGCUGGAAAUCUAGCUUGCUAGAUUGAAGGAGUGGCGAACGGGUGAGUAAUACAUAAGCAACCUACCCACGAAGACUGGGAUAAUCUCUGGAAACGGGGACUAAUACCGGAUAGGUAAUCGGAAGGCAUCUUCUGAUUAUUAAAGGUUAAAAACACUGGUGGGUGGGCUUAUGGCGCAUUAGUUAGUUGGUGAGGUAACGGCCCACCAAGACGAUGAUGCGUAGCCGGCCUGAGAGGGUGAACGGCCACAUUGGGACUGAGACACGGCCCAGACUCCUACGGGAGGCAGCAGUAGGGAAUUUUCGGCAAUGGGGGAAACCCUGACCGAGCAACGCCGCGUGAGUGAUGACGGCCUUCGGGUUGUAAAGCUCUGUUGUAAGGGAAGAACGGUAGAUAGAGAAUAUCUAAAUGACGGUACCUUACCAGAAAGCCACGGCUAACUACGUG